Molecule: ribosomal RNA, 515 nt
Filed under: uncultured Trichococcus sp.
Lineage: Bacteria; Bacillati; Bacillota; Bacilli; Lactobacillales; Carnobacteriaceae
Description: bacterial SSU rRNA
Rfam family: Bacterial small subunit ribosomal RNA
Source: RNAcentral
GGCGAACGGGUGAGUAACACGUGGGUAACCUGCCCAUAAGAGGGGGAUAACAUCCGGAAACGGGUGCUAAUACCGCAUAGUUUUCUUGAUCGCAUGAUUGAGAAAGGAAAGACGGCCUUUGUGCUGUCGCUUAUGGAUGGACCCGCGGCGUAUUAGUUAGUUGGUGAGGUAAUGGCUCACCAAGACGAUGAUACGUAGCCGACCUGAGAGGGUGAUCGACCACAUUGGGACUGAGACACGGCCCAAACUCCUACGGGAGGCAGCAGUAGGGAAUCUUCCGCAAUGGACGAAAGUCUGACGGAGCAACGCCGCGUGAGUGAAGAAGGUUUUCGGAUCGUAAAACUCUGUUGUCAGAGAAGAACAAGUCGGAGAGUAACUGCUCCGGCCUUGACGGUAUCUGACCAGAAAGCCACGGCUAACUACGUGCCAGCAGCCGCGGUAAUACGUAGGUGGCAAGCGUUGUCCGGAUUUAUUGGGCGUAAAGCGAGCGCAGGCGGUUCCUUAAGUCUGAUGUG